UGGAUUGGGCUCCCCUCCACAUCCUCCCAUGACGAGGGCGAAGCACUUCUCUAACAAGCCCUGCUCCUGCUCGAGAAAAAAACUUCAAUGGAGCUAGCCUUCGCAGCAGCAAACUGGUUCAGUUCCUCUUUUCUCUUUCUGCAUCUAAAUCACCGAAAACCUAACCUCCAAUCUUACUUCUAGGAGAAGCGAGUACUGUGGGGACACUAUCUAGCCUUUCGCAUGCGAGCAGCAGUGAAGCAAAGGUGCCUCCAGGUUUGAUUCUUGCUGUAGAUUAGUUUUCAAAUUUUGCUUCUUUGGUUUCUCCGAGUUUUCUUUGGGAUUGGCCUUCUUUGUUUGAUUUUUUAAAAAAAGAUUUUUUUAGGAGAGGAAGGAAUUCCUGCGAUCCAGGCCCGCAAGGGCCGAAGGUUCC
Molecule: long non-coding RNA, 412 nt
Filed under: Elaeis guineensis (African oil palm)
Lineage: Eukaryota; Viridiplantae; Streptophyta; Magnoliopsida; Arecales; Arecaceae
Description: long non-coding RNA (EGUI_LNC013313)
Source: RNAcentral